GGUAACGUGGCCGAGUGGUUAAGGCGGCAGACUUAAGAUCUGCUCAUCCGUAGGAUGGCGUGGGUUCGAACCCCAUCGUUACCA
This 84-nucleotide transfer RNA is filed under the name Vavraia culicis subsp. floridensis. Its description in RNAcentral is "tRNA-Leu (TAA) (tRNA-Leu-TAA-1-1)". It matches the Rfam family "tRNA". From Rfam's summary of the family: Transfer RNA (tRNA) molecules are approximately 80 nucleotides in length. Their secondary structure includes four short double-helical elements and three loops (D, anti-codon, and T loops). The record is from Rfam by way of RNAcentral. Lineage: Eukaryota; Fungi; Microsporidia; Pleistophoridae.